CAGUGGGGAAUAUUGCACAAUGGGCGCAAGCCUGAUGCAGCCAUGCCGCGUGUAUGAAGAAGGCCUUCGGGUUGUAAAGUACUUUCAGCAGUGAGGAAGGUGGGUAUGUUAAUAGCAUACUCAUUUGACGUUAGCUGCAGAAGAAGCACCGGCUAACUCCGUGCCAGCAGCCGCGGUAAUACGGAGGGUGCGAGCGUUAAUCGGAAUUACUGGGCGUAAAGCGCAUGCAGGUGGUUUGUUAAGUCAGAUGUGAAAGCCCGGGGCUCAACCUCGGAAUUGCAUUUGAAACUGGCAAACUAGAGUACUGUAGAGGGGGUAGAAUUUCAGGUGUAGCGGUGAAAUGCGUAGAGAUCUGAAGGAAUACCGGUGGCGAAGGCGGCCCCCUGGACAGAUACUGACACUCAGAUGCGAAAGCGUGGGGAGCAAACAGGAUUAGAUACCCUGAUAG
This 448-nucleotide ribosomal RNA is filed under the name uncultured bacterium. RNAcentral describes it as "bacterial SSU rRNA". It matches the Rfam family "Bacterial small subunit ribosomal RNA", at positions 352 to 793 of the family's 1533-position model. The record is from RNAcentral.